Molecule: ribosomal RNA, 459 nt
Filed under: uncultured bacterium
Lineage: Bacteria
Description: partial 16S ribosomal RNA
Rfam family: Bacterial small subunit ribosomal RNA
Source: RNAcentral
CCUACGGGGGGCAGCAGUGAGGAAUAUUGGUCAAUGGGCGGAAGCCUGAACCAGCCAAGUCGCGUGAGGGAUUAAGGCCCUAUGGGUCGUAAACCUCUUUUGUCAGGGAACAAAGGCGGGGACGUGUCCCCGGAUGAGUGUACCUGAAGAAAAAGCAUCGGCUAACUCCGUGCCAGCAGCCGCGGUAAUACGGAGGAUGCGAGCGUUAUCCGGCUUUAGGGGGUUAAAAGGGUGCGCAGGCGGUCUGUUAAGUCAGCGGUCAAAGCCCGGGGCUAACCCCCGGCCCGCCGUUGAAACUGGCAGUCUCGAGUUGGAGAGAAGUAUGCGGAAUGCGCGGUGUAGCGGUGAAAUGCAUAGAUAUCGCGCAGAACUCCGAUUGCGAAGGCAGCAUGCCGGCUCCACACUGACGCUGAGGCACGAAAGCGUGGGUAUCGAACAGGAUUAGAUACCCGGGUAGUC